RNAcentral lists this ribosomal RNA (254 nucleotides) under uncultured bacterium. RNAcentral describes it as "partial 16S ribosomal RNA". It matches the Rfam family "Bacterial small subunit ribosomal RNA", at positions 524 to 776 of the family's 1533-position model. The record is from RNAcentral.
UACGUAGGGGGCGAGCGUUGUCCGGAUUUAUUGGGCGUAAAGAGCUCGUAGGCGGUUUGGUAAGUCGGGUGUGAAAUCUCCACGCUCAACGUGGAGGGGCCACUCGAUACUGCCAUGACUCGAGUCCGGUAGAGGAGUGUGGAAUUUCCGGUGUAGCGGUGAAAUGCGUAGAUAUCGGAAGGAACACCAGUGGCGAAAGCGGCUUCCUGGUCCAGCACCGACGUUCAGGCACGAAAGCGUGGGGAGCAAACAGG